GACAUCACCAAGCUCAGCCUACGCCUCUGCACAGGGAACCUCUACCUUCUCUCGAGAGCAUUUGUGCCCCCGGAUCUCAAGGUGCUGGGAGAGAUAUGCCUUCGAGGAUAUUUGGACGCAUUCAGGUUCUUGGAAGAGAAGGGCAUCUGCAACAGGCCCCAGCCGGGCCUGAAGUCAUCCUCAGAAGGGAUGGAUCCUGAGGUUGCCGCGCCCAGCUGGGCAAACAUGAGUCUGGAUUCUUCCCCAGAGUCGGCUGCCUUGGCUGUGAGGCUGGAGGGAGACGAGCUGCUAGACCACCUGCGUCUCAGCAUCCUGCCCUGGGAUGAGAGCAUCCUGGACACCGUCUCGCCCAGGCUCGCUACAGCUGUGAUAUUGGAAAUGGACAUGUCUUUUCAAGGAAAAUAAAAGCAGGCUUUCUGGAA
RNAcentral lists this small RNA (422 nucleotides) under Pongo abelii (Sumatran orangutan). RNAcentral describes it as "processed transcript". The record is from RNAcentral. Lineage: Eukaryota; Metazoa; Chordata; Mammalia; Primates; Hominidae.